RNAcentral lists this ribosomal RNA (810 nucleotides) under uncultured bacterium. RNAcentral's name for it is "bacterial SSU rRNA". It matches the Rfam family "Bacterial small subunit ribosomal RNA", at positions 8 to 858 of the family's 1533-position model. The record is from RNAcentral.
AGAGUUUGAUCCUGGCUCAGGAUGAACGCUGGCGGUAUGCUUAACACAUGCAAGUCGAACGGAAGUCUUCGGACUUUAGUGGCGGACGGGUGAGUAACGCGUGAGGAUCUGCCUACAGGACUGGGACAACGUUUGGAAACGGACGCUAAAACCGGAUGUGCCGAGAGGUGAAAUAUUGUAUAGCCUGUAGAUGAGCUCGCGUCUGAUUAGCUAGUUGGUGAGGUAAGGGCUCACCAAGGCGACGAUCAGUAGCUGGUCUGAGAGGACGAUCAGCCACACUGGGACUGAGACACGGCCCAGACUCCUACGGGAGGCAGCAGUGGGGAAUUUUCCGCAAUGGGCGCAAGCCUGACGGAGCAAUACCGCGUGAGGGAGGAAGGUCUGUGGAUUGUAAACCUCUUUUGAUAGGGAAGAAGCAAGUGACGGUACCUAUCGAAUCAGCAUCGGCUAACUCCGUGCCAGCAGCCGCGGUAAUACGGAGGAUGCAAGCGUUAUCCGGAAUUAUUGGGCGUAAAGCGUCCGUAGGUGGUUAAUCAAGUCUAUUGUCAAAGCCUGGGGCUCAACCCUGGAGAGGCGGUGGAAACUGGUUAACUAGAGUGCGGUAGGGGCAGAGGGAAUUCCCAGUGUAGCGGUGAAAUGCGUAGAUAUUGGGAAGAACACCGGUGGCGAAAGCGCUCUGCUGGGCCUGCACUGACACUGAGGGACGAAAGCUAGGGGAGCGAAAGGGAUUAGAUACCCCUGUAGUCCUAGCUGUAAACGAUGGAGACUAGGUGUUGCACGUAUCGACCCGUGCAGUGCCGUAGCUAACGC